Molecule: microRNA precursor, 169 nt
Filed under: Medicago truncatula (barrel medic)
Lineage: Eukaryota; Viridiplantae; Streptophyta; Magnoliopsida; Fabales; Fabaceae
Description: MIR2619 microRNA precursor family
Rfam family: MIR2619 microRNA precursor family
Source: Rfam by way of RNAcentral
AAACAGCCCCCUAUGUUUUGAUUCUUUGGCAGUUUUGGACCCCAAGGCAAAAAAAAAUAAAAAAAUUGACACGUGGCACCUCAUUUAGGGUGCCACGUCAGCGUUGACCGAGUCAACAAUGGACUGGGGGUCCAAAACUGCCAAAGAAUCAAAACAUAGGGGGCUGUUU